This 495-nucleotide ribosomal RNA is filed under the name uncultured Streptococcus sp. Its description in RNAcentral is "partial 16S ribosomal RNA". Lineage: Bacteria; Bacillati; Bacillota; Bacilli; Lactobacillales; Streptococcaceae. The record is from RNAcentral.
CACGUAGUUAGCCGUCCCUUUCUGGUAAGCUACUGUCACAGUGUGAACUUUCCACUCUCACACCCGUUCUUGACUUACAACAGAGCUUUACGAUCCGAAAACCUUCUUCACUCACGCGGCGUUGCUCGGUCAGGGUUGCCCCCAUUGCCGAAGAUUCCCUACUGCUGCCUCCCGUAGGAGUCUGGGCCGUGUCUCAGUCCCAGUGUGGCCGAUCACCCUCUCAGGUCGGCUAUGUAUCGUCGCCUAGGUGAGCCAUUACCUCACCUACUAGCUAAUACAACGCAGGUCCAUCUUGUAGUGGAGCAAUUGCCCCUUUCAAAUAAAUGACAUGUGUCAUCCAUUGUUAUGCGGUAUUAGCUAUCGUUUCCAAUAGUUACUCCCCCGAUACAAGGCAGGUUACCUACGCGUUACUCACCCGCUCGCAACUCAUCCAAGAAGAGCAAGCUCCUCUCUUCAGCGUUUCUACUUGCAUGUAUUAGCACGCCGCAGCGUUCG